Long non-coding RNA from Cavia porcellus (domestic guinea pig), 1845 nucleotides. RefSeq lists it as uncharacterized. The record is from RefSeq and is a predicted model, not a curated record. The transcript is spliced from 2 exons. Lineage: Eukaryota; Metazoa; Chordata; Mammalia; Rodentia; Caviidae.
CACAUCCACAGGCCCAGAGCUGCAGAGCAGCCUCCUGGGACUUCAGAGGGCUGGAGCUCAGCGGCAGAGGCUGUGGCAGGUCUCGGUCCGUGGAAAAGAAAAACGUUAGGAGCGUCAAGGAAGGUCUCGGCCAGGCCUGGUGACAUGCUUCCUGCCUCGGCUGGCUUCCUCUCCAGUCAGCUGCCAUGGGAAGUCUCUCAUUCAAAGUGUUAACCAGAAAGACAAGAACACUUGAAAAAUAUCCAAUCAGCUCUCCCAGAACUUAGUUUUAAUAAGAGGUCAGCCUGACAUUUAUUUUCCAGUGUUAAAAAAGAGGAUCUUCUUUUUCAAUGCAAAUUAAAAGAUACAUACUUCAAUUCUUGGGAUUUACAAAUUCCAGACUUAGUCUAAGAAACCCAUGCAGGAUAUGCAUGGGUAGUAAGUGGCUGCUUUCUGACCAGGUGACAAACAAAACGAAUACAAUUAGGCAAAUUUCUCCAGUUCUUUCCUUUUUCUCUUAUGACAAAGAAUCACCCUGCGUUUCAUGUCGAGGCACAGUUCUUUACAGGUGUGUUUUAACUGCAUUCCUAAAGUCAGCAGAUUACAUAGGAUAUCAUUUAACUUUAUGAAUGUGGAACUGGUCACAUUAACUCAUGUGGCAACUAGGCCUGUGUCAUAAAAACACUCCAGGCUCUGAAAUAUCUGACAUAAGCAAAUAACCAGUGUCAGCAGGGCCUCCUUCCCCGGGGUGGAGUGGAGUGCAGGACCUGAAACUGCUACCAAGUGGAGGAGUCAAAUCCUUCUCAGGUGCUCAACCCAAUCCUGUGAGACCUUUUAUCAAGUGGUUCUCAUCUUCCUGUUUAUUUGUAAUUAGGAUUUAAUUCUAAAAUUUGUAGGAAACAGAGCUAACUAAACAGUCUAUGUCUGGAAUCCUGAGGGUCCUGAAGAGCAGAGGGGCCGUGAAUUAAGACUUCAUUCUAAAGGCAGGGCAUUGUGUGCUCCACUUGUGCCAGGAUUUGGGUCUGAGAUGGAACCACUGGCCAGGCAUCUGAGAGAGUUUGCUCUCAGAACUCGUGGUCCCAGCAAACCUUGGGAUCAGCUUUCACCACAGUGGCUCUCCUGGUACAUACUGGGAGGAUGUGCAGGUUUUGCUAGCCCUGAGUGUCAAAGUGUAUUUCCCUAGUCCUUCAUAGCUCAUCUGUGACCCAAAGAGGAAUUAACCCUUGCCAAAGAAGCCCUUUCAGAUCUGCCUUUUGGGUCAUCACUCUUUGCUACAUUGCAUCUCAUCCCAGAUGGGCAACUAUUACAACCCUCACGCCUCACUGCCUUUGUCCUGUCCAUUCUGCAGCUGCCUGUGUCCCCAGGCCACCGCCUUACACAGGAAAUCCAGCUGGUGCUGUACGUUACAUGAUCUUGGAAUUACAGACCCUGACAUCCACGCAGUGUGCACUGAUAAUUUCUGAAUAUACCAAAAGCAAGGACUACAAUUUUCUACUGGUAAAAAGGGGGUUAAUAAAAAAAAAAUGCCCUUGCCUUUUGAAGCAGUAAUUUAAACCCACAAGCUAGAAAUCAAGAUCAAAAAGUUCCACAGUGACUAACAUGGAAAUUACUUAGCCAUCAAAACCGCUGAUGUCGUAAACAAAAUUCGUCAACAGCCACUAAGAAUUCAUUGAAAGUGAAUUUAUUGUUUGUUUAAAAUAAAAUAAAAAAAAAACAACUGUGCAACACGUGCUGCUCAAGACAGUGUGAAUCAGGUUUGGUGUUCAUCUCUUCUCAGGCUUCAGUUUGGCAAGGCUAAAUGAGAGACACGGUACAGACACAUAGUUAGUAAGCACAGAGCAGGGGCAACAACAAUACGUGUUUGUU